AUUCCGCCGCCGCUCCAUCGCCUCCCUGGCGCCACAGCGGCCGCUCCAUCAUCUCUCCUCAGGGCCUUCUCUUCCUAUCUCUCACUUCUCCAGUGAUUCCCACCCCAGCAGCCCGCAACCUCUAUCUAGGCCUCGCAAGAUCUUGUCAACCCCCAACUAGGUUGGGCAGAGGCCUCCAGCCGAGUCGGAGGAGAACACUACCACUGAGGGAUCAAACCCUAGCACCGCAGGCGGCUGUGCGGAGGAUUGAGGUCGACGAUGGUGGUCGCAGCAGGUCAUCAGCUCAGCUCGCCCUCUUCUCUCCCACUGCCCCCAUCACCAUCAUCCUCUCCUUCAUGCGUUCUUGCUCGUCUUUAGGCAUGUGUGCGAAGGCUCGCCAUGGACAAUCAAGACGGCGGAGUGAGGCACAGUUUCACAUUUGCUGUCCUACAACCCUGCUCCUUGUCGUCUGCACUGCGUAAACAAAUGCUUUGAUGAGGAUGCUUAAUUGGUCUGACAACCGUAUAUUGCAAAAUGUACAACCAUAGGAACAUCUAGCAGCAAGUACUUAAGGUUGUAUGUCUCCUAGGUUGAAUCAUUCACUAUGAGUUUUAAGAAUGGUUGAUCAAAUGGAGACGUUCAGCUCUAAGUAAAGCAGACCUUAUGAUGGAGAAGAUAUGUAGGCCAAAUUGCUGGCACGAUAUUGGGCAUAGCUGGUGCAGCAUAGUAGUGAAAUUCCUUCGCUGAGGCAUUUAAAAAAUGGACAUUGUUGCAAUGUUAUGUGCUGGUGGUCCCUGGUCCUUUUACAACCUUGAGAAAGGCUGAGUAAUGAGACAUAAGAAAUUUAUAGCCUCUUUAUUUCUUCUCAGAAGGUUUGUCUAUAGGUUGAUGAAAGUUGCAUUAAACAUGAUGGACAUCGCCCACAAUGACAUUGCAUGUGUGAUGAACUUGCCAUCUCAUAAGUGGGACAAGACCAGAUAGUUUGUUGGCGAGAUCAGCGAUGUGAUUCAGGCAAAUUAAGGGUGCAAUGAACCAUCUGGAAAUGUUCAGUUCUCAAGUGUACUCACAAAUAAGUAGUUACACUGACAUAAGAUUUUGUUUCAGAUUCUGUAUGACAACGACGCAAGGAAGUUCUGAAUACACGUCACAGGUGCCCCUUGGCUGCCUGUGGGUGUUCGUGAUGUGGGAGCAGGGUGAACUCCACACAUAGGUCUACAUUGUGAACCACAACCGAGUUGACAUGGGCCUUAAAAAGGAGCUGAGUGACCUCUGCGACGAGGUGCGGUUGCGCUGGAAGAAUGCCAUCAAGUAUGGCUUAUUUGACAACCACACCAAAUACGGGUAAAGCAGUGAGGAGACUGUCAAUGAGCUCAACACAAGGAGUGGACGAGCUGAAGAAUGAGCCUUGGUUUCCAAGCUUAAGCAGAAGAACGUUGUUAGGCUUCUUGGUGUCUGCUUGGAGUACCAGAAGCGGCUUCUCGUCUACGAGUACACCUCAAACCAGAGGCUUAUUUCAAUAUGGUUGGUGACCUGGAACGUUGGCGUUCUUGGCCUGGUCACGCUGUCAGGCAACAGAGGAAGAGGGGCCUGAGCAAUCAGAAAUGGACAAACAUGUACAACACAUUUUUCAAACUGAACUUGCCAACUUGCAUGUGCUCUUACAUAAGAGCAGAUCGCAGUACUGAUAUCAAUCUCCACGGCGUUACAGAUCAGCCUGAAAGACGAAUCUCUAGGCGUGGACUCAAUCACCAGAAGCUUGUCCGUCAAGUGCAAUAGUGCCAGCGGCGCACGGCUGCUGAAAUGGCACAAUGCUCCUUUUCUACUGAACUUCACAUCUAUUAAAUGUUUUUUGCUCAUGUAUCUCUGCAGACCUACUUCGGCCUGGCGGCAACGCUCCGGUGACCCUGGACAUGGCAGUAUGGGGAAGGGCCAGAUCUUGGUGAACGGCCACAGCGCAGGGAUAUGUGUGAAGAGUUUGCAGGGAAGUGGAAAAGCGAUGUCAGUUCAUCAUAAUACAUUAACUGUUUUUGUAAGUUGUUAAACCUGCAAAUACAAUGCUCAGACGUUGUGAUUGGAGUGCACUUGGCCGGCGAGGAGGUGCUUGUUAGACCAUUAGACAUUCAUGUACAUGCUCGAACCUACUGCCAUGAUUAUCUAUUUUUUAAGAUGGCCGACUAGGAUGUCCACAAUCAUGGCAUGUUGCUAUUUCAUAUUUGCUGAUCUUUUAUAUAUCUUAGAUAUGGUUGUGCUUCGGUGUUAGCUUUUGUAAGUAAUGAACUAUACUCUACUGAAGUUAAAAGAGUCAGUCUAUCAGAAA
This is a long non-coding RNA of Lolium perenne, 2296 nucleotides long. RefSeq lists it as uncharacterized. The record is from RefSeq and is a predicted model, not a curated record. NCBI's taxonomy places the organism in Eukaryota, Viridiplantae, Streptophyta, Magnoliopsida, Poales, Poaceae.